UAAUAAGCGGAGGAAAAGAAACUAACUAGGAUUCCUUUAGUAGCUGCGAGCGAACAGGGAAGAGCCCAGCACUGAAUCCCGUGGCCGUUACCGGACACUGGGAAAUGUAGUGUUAGGGAGGACUCAUUUAUCCUAAGGUUGUACGGUGUGUCCAAGUCCUUCUUGAACGAGGCCAUAACCCAUAGAGGGUGCCAGGCCCGUAGAGACCACUGUCAAUUUUUGGGAGAGUCUCUCCUCAGAGUCGGGUUGCUUGAAAGUGCAGCCCUAAGUGGGUGGUAAACUCCAUCUAAGGCUAAAUAUGACCACGAGACCGAUAGCGAACAAGUACCGUGAGGGAAAGUUGAAAAGUACUUUGAAGAGAGAGUUCAAUAGUACGUGAAACCGUUCAGGGGUAAACCUGAGAAACCCGAAAGAUCGAAAGAGGAAAUUCAUUCGCAUUUCAGUUGCUAGUAAUUUGUUAGUACAGUAUAGAGGUGUCUCCUUGCGUUACACUUCAACUUGCUAUCAUCCUGACCUGGUACUGAAUGUGUGCACUUUUCCUCUAGUAGGUCGUCGCGAUCUGUUGGCGAUCGAUUUACGGCCCGCGGAGGCAGACUAUGCGUUUGUUACUUUCAUUAGUUAACAUAACUGUAUAGACCCGUGGUGACCUAAUCGUAUCAGUUGACAGUAUAAUAAAAUUGUGCAGAGCCGCAGCAAUGCGUUCGGCCCAUGGCAAGCGUGUUUGGUGCUUACUGAUGUGUCAUACCAGUACUGGUAUGUCCUCAGUCCCAAAUAUCUGUUGGCUGUGGUGUUCUCGAACAGACUCUCACACACACACAUAUCAGCGACGCUAUAGCUUUGGGUAAUCUCAGGACCCGUCUUGAAACACGGACCAAGGAGUCUAGCAUGUGCGCAAGUCAAUGGGCCUAACGAACCCCAAAGGCGAAAUUAAUGUGAACGUUUACACUUAUGUGCAAACAUUGGGACGAUGGGUAUGCUUUGCUUUUAUUAGUGGCUGCCCCGCACUCCCGGGGCGUCUCAAUGGCUCACUUCGGUGAGUCGAGGCGCACUCUGAGCGUACAUGCUGGGACCCGAAAGAUGGUGAACUAUGCCUGGUCAGGACGAAGUCAGGGGAAACCCUGAUGGAGGUCCGUAGCGGUUCUGACGUGCAAAUCGAUCGUAUGAACUGGGUAUAGGGGCGAAAGACUAAUCGAACCAUCUAGUAGCUGGUUCCCUCCGAAGUUUCCCUCAGGAUAGCUGGCGCUCAUUGAGCACGAGUUUCAUUCGGUAAAGCGAAUGAUUAGAGGCAUUGGGGUCGAAACGACCUCAACCUAUUCUCAAACUUUAAAUGGGUGAGAUCUUCGGCUUGCUUAAAAAAGCAAUAUGAAGCCGUAAGAGAUAUACUAUAAUAGAAUCAGAGUGCCAAGUGGGCCAUUUUUGGUAAGCAGAACUGGCGCUGUGGGAUGAACCAAACGUUAAGUUAAAGCGCCUAAAUUGACGCUCAUGGGAUACCAUGAAAGGCGUUGGUAACUUAAGACAGCAGGACGGUGGCCAUGGAAGUCGGAAUCCGCUAAGGAGUGUGUAACAACUCACCUGCCGAAGUUACUAGCCCUGAAAAUGGAUGGCGCUAAAGCGUCAUGCUUAUACUUAACCGUCAGCGGCAUGUGCGUCUUUACACAGUGCACUUGUGUACUUGUAUUGACAUGAAGCCCUGACGAGUAGGAGGGUCGCGGUGGUGAGCGCAGAAGGACUGGCCGUGAGGUCGUCUGGAGCCGCCAUCGGUGCAGAUCUUGGUGGUAGUAGCAAAUACUCCAGCGAGGCCCUGGAGGACUGAUGUGGAGAAGGGUUURGUGUGARCAGSUGKUGCACACGAGUCAGUCGAUCYUAAGCCCUAGGSGDAAGCCGAUGUUAAUAAAGUGURUAUACACAAAAAUCUWUAAUUGAAAAAUAUAUAUGAAAUAUAAAAUAUGAAAUAUGAAAUAUAUAAAUAUAUAAACACAAACACACUUAUGGGCGAAAGGGAAUCUGGUUCCUAUUCCAGAACCUGGCAGCGGAACCGUAUAAAUGUCGGGCCCUCAUUAGAGAGUUCGUCGGGGUAACCCAAAAUGACUCGGAGACGCCGUCGGGAGAUCCGGGAAGAGUUUUCUUUUCUGUAUGAGCGUUCGAGUUCCAUGGAAUCCUUUAGCAGGGAGAUAUGGUUUGGAACGCGAAGAGCACCGCAGUUGCAGCGGUGUCCGGAUCUUCCCCUCGGACCUUGAAAAUCCGAGAGAGGGCCACGUAAGGUGUCGCGCCAGAUCGUACCCAUAUCC
Molecule: ribosomal RNA, 2288 nt
Filed under: Cathartus quadricollis
Lineage: Eukaryota; Metazoa; Arthropoda; Insecta; Coleoptera; Silvanidae
Description: eukaryotic LSU rRNA
Rfam family: Eukaryotic large subunit ribosomal RNA
Source: RNAcentral